RNAcentral lists this ribosomal RNA (253 nucleotides) under uncultured bacterium. Its description in RNAcentral is "partial 16S ribosomal RNA". It matches the Rfam family "Bacterial small subunit ribosomal RNA", at positions 524 to 776 of the family's 1533-position model. The record is from RNAcentral.
UACGGAGGAUGCAAGCGUUAUCCGGAAUGAUUGGGCGUAAAGCGUCUGCAGGUGGUUUUGUAAGUCUGCUGUUAAAGCGUUAGGCUCAACCUAAUAAGGGCAGUGGAAACUAUGAGACUAGAGUAUGUUAGGGGUAGAGGGAAUUCCCAGUGUAGCGGUGAAAUGCGUAGAGAUUGGGAAGAACACCGGUGGCGAAAGCGCUCUGCUAGGACAAUACUGACACUGAGGGACGAAAGCUAGGGGAGCGAAUGGG